GCUGAAAAUCUUUGAUGCCCAGUAAUGCAAAUAAUACGUUCUUUGUUGAACACGCAGCCGUGUAUCGGCCUUAAAAUGAUAUUCGUUCCGACGUUAAAGUUUUCUUUGUAGAAAAUUUCAGAUUUACGUGUAGGCUGCUCUUCUUAAAAUUUCCCUUCAGCGUUUAACAGAUUGGAAGGAGAUUCAUUGAAAAGCUGAAAAUGUCAUCAAAGUCAUUUUACUCAAGAGUAUCAAUUUUAAAAUUGACUUUUGCGACCUUCAAAAACCUGACAAAGGAUGCGAGAUGGACAAGCGAUUGAAGGCAUAGAUGCACGCUAUCGCAAUUAAUUUAAAUAAUUUUUUCGUGUAUAUAUGAAAUUUCAGACUUGAGUGUUCCGAAGGAAAGAUAAAUUCGUUGUAGCGUUUAUACUUAGUGCUGUUAUGCAUGUGCUUGAAAACCUAGUACCGGAUGCCCGCCACCGAUACUCGCAAAGGAUUCUAAUGCUUAGGCAGUCGAAUAAGGCAGCGGUGCCUACAAAGCAAGAAGUCGUACGUUAGUAGCUAAGUUCACGUAAUCGGUGAUUGACGUCCACUUUUAUAAGCGACAGUCUGGUGCCAAGAUCAAAUCAAGAUGGACAUGCACAGGUAGGAGGGAGCAAAAGUCCUAGGCAUAUACCAGCCCUCAGUGGAACACUGUUGCUUUCGGCAAAGAAAUGUUUAAGAUAAUGAUGUUCUCCAGCGAUAUAGAGGAGAGCACAACAGGAAAGUUUGAUAAUGACACAGGUAUUGAGUUCAAUAACAUAACAACUGGCAUCCCGCAACUAUCAACUCUCGGUCCCAUAUUAGACAACAGCAGGUGCAAUGACGUCCUCAAAUCCCCAAUUGGCGGCGAUACCACUGUAAAGGCGUCAAUCAAGUAAAGGCGAUUGCAAACGAUACAGUGGCGCAUGUGAAAGCAUGACUAGUCGUAGUAGGAACGUAGUACCAACGAAAAAUUGGUCUCAAAUUCUGUAUUUUCAAAUAAACUUUCUGGCCAAAGCCGAUGGAGAUGCUGUUUUAUUUAAAUCUUACUCCCAUAAGUAGAGGA
Molecule: long non-coding RNA, 1066 nt
Organism: Glossina fuscipes
Lineage: Eukaryota; Metazoa; Arthropoda; Insecta; Diptera; Glossinidae
Exons: 3
Source: RefSeq, a predicted model, not a curated record